RNAcentral lists this ribosomal RNA (550 nucleotides) under uncultured bacterium. RNAcentral's name for it is "bacterial SSU rRNA". It matches the Rfam family "Bacterial small subunit ribosomal RNA", at positions 355 to 896 of the family's 1533-position model. The record is from RNAcentral.
UAGGGAAUCUUCGGCAAUGGGGGCAACCCUGACCGAGCAACGCCGCGUGAGUGGAGAAGGUUUUCGGAUCGUAAAGCUCUGUUGUAAGAGAAGAACGAGUGUGAGAGUGGAAAGUUCACGCUGUGACGGUAUCUUACCAGAAAGGGACGGCUAACUACGUGCCAGCAGCCGCGGUAAUACGUAGGUCCCGAGCGUUAUCCGGAUUUAUUGGGCGUAAAGCGAGCGCAGGCGGUUAGAUAAGUCUGAAGUUAAAGGCUGUGGCUUAACCAUAGUACGCUUUGGAAACUGUUUAACUUGAGUGCAGAAGGGGAGAGUGGAAUUCCAUGUGUAGCGGUGAAAUGCGUAGAUAUAUGGAGGAACACCGGUGGCGAAAGCGGCUCUCUGGUCUGUAACUGACGCUGAGGCUCGAAAGCGUGGGGAGCAAACAGGAUUAGAUACCCUGGUAGUCCACGCCGUAAACGAUGAGUGCUAGGUGUUGGGUCCUUUCCGGGACUCAGUGCCGCAGCUAACGCAUUAAGCACUCCGCCUGGGGAGUACGACCGCAAGGUUG